UUGGAGGGCAAGUCUGGUGCCAGCAGCCGCGGUAAUUCCAGCUCCAAUAGCGUAUAUUAAAGUUGUUGCAGUUAAAAAGCUCGUAGUUGAAUUUCGGGGUCAGCAGGUUGGUCGUGCCAAUGGUAUGAACUGGCCUUGCUGAUUCCUCCCUCUUGAUGAGCCGUAAUGUCAUUAAUUUGGUGUUGCGGGGAAUCAGGACUGUUACUUUGAAAAAAUUAGAGUGUUUAAAGCAGGCAAGCGCUUGAAUACAUUAGCAUGGAAUAAUGAAAUAGGACGUUUGAUCCUAUUUUGUUGGUUUCUAGGAUCGACGUAAUGAUUAAUAGGGAUAGUUGGGGGCAUUAGUAUUCAAUUGUCAGAGGUGAAAUUCUUGGAUUUAUUGAAGACUAACUACUGCGAAAGCAUUUGCCAAGGAUGUUUUCAUUAAUCAAGAACGAAAGUUAGGGGAUCGAAGACGAUCAGAUACCGUCGUAGUCUUAACCAUAAACUAUGCCGACUAGGGAUCGGAUGAUGUUAAUUUUUUAAUGACUCAUUCGGCGCCUUACGGGAAAC
This 549-nucleotide ribosomal RNA is filed under the name uncultured Glomus. RNAcentral describes it as "SSU rRNA". It matches the Rfam family "Eukaryotic small subunit ribosomal RNA", at positions 548 to 1098 of the family's 1831-position model. The record is from RNAcentral. Lineage: Eukaryota; Fungi; Glomeromycota; Glomeromycetes; Glomerales; Glomeraceae.